Molecule: ribosomal RNA, 468 nt
Filed under: uncultured bacterium
Lineage: Bacteria
Description: partial 16S ribosomal RNA
Rfam family: Bacterial small subunit ribosomal RNA
Source: RNAcentral
GACGAACGCUGGCGGCGUGCUUAACACAUGCAAGUCGAACGGAAAGGCCCUGCUUUUGUGGGGUGCACGAGUGGCGAACGGGUGAGUAACACGUGAGUAACCUGCCCUUGACUUUGGGGUAAAUUCUGGAAACUGGGGCUCAUACCGCAUAGGAUCUCCUGCUGCAUGGGGGGGGUAGGAAAGAUUCGGCGGUUGGGGAUGGACUCGAGGCUUAUCCGCUUGUUGGUGGGGUUGUGGCUGACCAAGGCUUUGACGGGUAGCCGGCCUGAGAGGGUGACCGGCCACAUUGGGACUAAGAUACGGCCCAGACUCCUACGGUAGGCAGCAGUGGGGAAUAUUGCACAACGGGCGGAAGCCUGAUGCAGCAACGCCGCGUGCGUGAAGACGGCCUUCGGGUUGUAAACCGCUUUCGCCUGUGACGAAGCGUGAGUGACGGUAAUGGGUAAAGAAGCACCGGCUAACUACGUG